AUGAUUGACGCAAACCUGAAAAUCAUGUCAUGGAACGUUCGAGGGCUCAACUCGCCGGCCCGGUGAGCCGUAGUUUGCGAAGCUGCGGAAACACACAAGCUAGCUAUCCUCUGUCUACAAGAAACAAAGAUCGACGAGUGGAGUAGAUCACUAGUUAGAGAGGUUGGCGGCUGCAGGCUGGAUGAUUGCAUCGUGCUCCCGGCAGAUGGUACCCGUGGCGGUGCGGCCAUCUUCUGGGACAAAAACAGAGUAGACGUGCAAUCCCAUGCCAUCGGCCUUUUCUCCAUCACGGCCAAGAUCACCAUGAGGGCAUCGGCCGGUUCCUUCUGGCUGACGACGGUGUACGGACACGUCGAUGAUGGGAGGAAGGACGAGUUCCUGGCUGAACUUUCGCGAGCUGCACCUCCAACAGACGCCCCUUGGCUCAUCAAUGGUGAUUUCAACCUCAUCUACGAGGCACAAGACAAGAACAACAACAACAUCAACCGUAGAAUCAUGGGCAAAUUUAGGGCUGCCAUCGACGCCGCAGGCCUCAAGGAGAUCAAAUGCAAAAACCGCAGAUUCACUUGGAGUAACAAGAGGAUGACGCCAACCCUAGUUAGCAUAGACAAGUUUUUCUACAACAUGGCUUGGUGCUCCAUCUUCCCUUCGUAUCUACUGCAUGCUGCUUCAACAUCAUGCUCCGACCACUGUCCAUUGCUGCUAUCCGAAGCCUCUGUGCCUCGCCGUGCGGCUCGCUUUCGCUUCGAAUCCUUCUGGCCUCGCUUCCCCCGCUUCCACACGACAGUCUAG
This 792-nucleotide ribosomal RNA is filed under the name Triticum aestivum (bread wheat). RNAcentral describes it as "partial small subunit ribosomal RNA". Lineage: Eukaryota; Viridiplantae; Streptophyta; Magnoliopsida; Poales; Poaceae. The record is from RNAcentral.